Molecule: non-coding RNA, 6168 nt
Organism: Pelodiscus sinensis (Chinese soft-shelled turtle)
Lineage: Eukaryota; Metazoa; Chordata; Testudines; Trionychidae
Source: RefSeq, a predicted model, not a curated record
UGGUUCUGGAGGUGAUGCUGCUGGGCUGGGUGGUGUGUGGGGGAACUGGGCUGUGGGUGAUGGCAGUAAGAGGGAGAAAGCUUGGCUGGGCACCUCAGGGGGAGCAGGGGUGGCACUAGGGGAUGGUGGUGCAGAGAGGUGACACUGAAUAUUGGGGGGCAAGAAUGCUGUGCCUUUUGGGAGGGGGGAUGGACUUGGGGAGCAGGCUGUGCCCUAGUGGGAGAGGAGAGGAUGGCUCUUCUUGGAGCCGGACUAAGCCCUGAUUCAUAAUUUCUAAUGCCAGAAGGGGUCAUUGUCUAGUCUAACCUAAUGCACGACUCCAGCCAUAGAACUUCCCUGUACUAAUUCCUGCUUCCAAUCCAAUAGCUGUGGCUGAAUUAUAGCAGAGCUUUGGAAAACAUGCAGUCUGGAUGAAAGAAUUUCCAGUGAUGGAGAAUUUCACCUCUGCCACAGAUGGCCUCUGAACUGACACCAGUUUAUCAACAUCCUUGAAGUGUGAAUAGCUGAGCUGUGGUAUUCCAGAUGUGCCACAUGUCAGCUGAGGUUGGCGGCCUGUCUUUACUCUAGAAGUGGCUACAUUUCAGAGGAGCAGUCUGUCCCUACACUGAGGUGUGCUUUGAGUUCUACAUGUAAAAUAGAGAUGGGCUUAUAGAUGUAACGAGAGCUGGUCAAAAUAUUUCAGCCAAAGGUUGGUUUUAACGGAAGAUAGCUAUUUACUGAAAAAAAAUGCACAGGAAAUGGCCAUUUUUAAUUAAUUGGGGGUGGUCAUGAAAAAAUUAUUUUUAUGCUAAAAAAAAGCCAUGCUCGAUUGGGACAUUGGGGAACCCACAAAUUUGAUUGUACUGAAAUUUUCUGCCUGACUGGCUGAAACUUGGUUUCAUAAAACUGAAUUCAUGGAGGAGUUUUGAUUCAAACAUUUUCUGGGGUUGGAUGGAAAGGGAAAGAACCCUCCUGUCCCCCAUUUCCUAACUUGCCUUAUACCCAACCAGUGUUCCCUGUAAGCUGAGCUCACGGGCGGCCACCCAGGAGACAUUCAUUGAUUACCAGAGCGCCCACAGCAACCACAACCAUCAGCAUGUGUUUCUAUUGGUGGUGCGUAUCAGCAUAGGUUUUGGUGCACCAAACAAAAUUUAUUCUGCACAUGGAAGGAAAGAUUUAGAGGGAACAUUGGACCCAGCCCCUUUAAAAGUUUGCAUGCAAUCCUGGGCCAGUCUAGAAUCCCUGAUCUGAACAACUUUUGAACUCUAUAAGUUUGCUUCUUUCACUUUACAUGUUGACACUCUGUUCAGCCCAUUAGUAUCUGGCUGGCUGACUCCAGCUAUCAGUUUUUGGUUUAGGUUCAGCUCUCAUAGAAUCCUGACAUAGGGAAAUAUUUACUAAGAAAAUUGAGAGUUUACUGUGAAAAUUUACCCUGGUUUAGAGUCCCACAGGUUCAGUAGAUUCCAGAUCAUCAGCCAAGAUAGUCAGGAAUCAUGGUUUUCACCUGCUGUGUUCAAUUGUAGUGGGGUGGGUGCUGCCCCACUUAUGCCUCUUUGUAUUGAGGGCCAGUUUGAGAGAGGGAAAUGAUUGCACCAUUGACACGGGCCAUAGCACUGUCUCCUUUUACUAGUCCAUGGGAGUAAAAGGGUCAAGUUAUUUAAGAAGUAACGGGCUAAGAAUUAGUGAGCAUUCAGGCAUUGAAUGGGGUGACAUGUCUCAUUUCAGCCAGGUCUGCUUUCCAGCAAGGCCAGAGAGCAGGUAAGGAAUCUGUCACUAGAUCACAUUCUCAUUGAAACUAGUGACAAAACAUGUCCAUUGGCUGUAAGGCAUCGUUCUCAACAUCCUGGAGUACGCAGUCAGCAUAGAGACAGUAGCAGGCCCUCUCUCAUACAAGGAGUGGGGGUCAAAGGGAAGUCAGCAAAGGAGAGUGAGAGAAGAAGGAAGGGGAAAGAAAGUACAGAAGAGGAAACAGGGGCGGGCAAAGGGAAUAGUAACUGGAAAGGGUAGGAGGGAGACUGGGGCUGGAAAGGAAAUGAGGCAGAUGACGCACUGCGAAGGAGAGGGGGGAGCAGCAAGAAAAGGAGAAAUCAGGGGCCAAACCCAACACAAAGAACAAACGUUAGAAUUAGAGAACAACCCCUGUGAACAUGCAGAGCAGAGGCCGAGUUGGCCAUGGGCUAGGACGACUAAGCAAGGCUGAGUGUGUGUAUUAAGGGUAGGGGGUGAUGGGCGGGGUAGAUCUGUCCUAAUUGGAGGGGCUUAAACCCCCAAAUCAUUGGGAAUCACAUCCUGUGUGAGCUGACACUGAGUCUGCAGAGUGUUGUAGCAUCUAGUGGGAGGGAGGAGAAAGGAGGAAGUGCUACUGAGUGAGCUGAGAUAUGAAAGUACCUCUGAGGUUUAGAGCCAGUUUGAGACAGGGGACAGUGGCAGGAUACAAAAGACAGAGGAGGGGGAGGGGAAGAAGGCUCAUGCUUCAAGGUCACAGAGAAAAGGGCCAGAGCAUUUAGAGUUUGUUUUCUUUGCAGCACAAAGCAGAAGUCAGCUUGCAGUUCUCCUCAGGGGAAACAAGAGGACAGUCUUACCGAGCAUGGAACUUGGUUCUGGCUUAUGUUCUAAUGCAAACAGUCCUCACCUAAUACUUGAGUUCAUUUGUUUUGUGUCAGGUAAAUAGAGAAUCUCCAGUUAUCUGGUGCUUCCAAUGGAGAACAUAGUUCAUGGAAUAACAAGGCAUAAGUCAAUAUUGUGGUGAUGUGAGCAAGAGCGCAGUGUGGCUGUAGAUUAGUUUUACUUUGUGGUAGUAAGUCUGCUGCUCCUGAAAGUAAACAGGAAAGUGAUUAAGGGCCAAAUUUUGCUGUUGUAAUUUGGUCAGUUCUCCUCCCCUGCCCUCUCCCCGGCCAAUUGGUCCCUAAGUAAUACCCCAGUUUUGUGUUGGAUUUCCCAUCCUAUUUUCUCAAUUUUGACAACCACACAGAAUCUGGCCAAAUUCCAGAAACUAUUUUUAAAAAUAAUCUCUCUCAAUAGAUACUGUUUGAUGCCACAGGAGGCGGCGGGGGGAGGGGAGAAGCAAUUCAAACUGAACAACUUUCACCGCUUUGCUGGAUGUUUGUUCUUACAACAGAACAAAUCCAUAACAAGUAACUCAAAUGCUUGACUCUGUAAGGAGCCAGAACCCCUGGGGAAUAAAAUUACUCGUGAACAGGGUUCCCUCUAAUUUUACUCACCCAUGUGUGGAAUGCAUUUUUUUUAUGUGCACCAAUAUGGAAGUGAUGUGUGAUGCAUUGUGUCCGUAUUUGUGCACCAAACAAAAUUUAUGUGGCAGGGAUGAAGCUAAGAGGUUCAGAGUGUGGGAAGGGGCAGAGGGCUAAGGUACAGGCGGGUGAUGGCCAGUGUUCCCUGUAAGCUAGGAGUUUGUGCGGCCACUUAGGAGAAAUUCAGAUGCCGCCCAGCUGACUACCAGAGCGCCCGCAACUAGGUUUUGUGUUUCUACUGGUGGUGCACAUUCGCACAUGCCUCGGUGCACAUAAAAAUGUAUUCUGCACAUGGAUGGAAAAGAUUAGAAGGGAAUGUUAGUGAGGGCUCCAGCUGGGGGUGCUGCCUCUGGGAUAGGGUCAAGGAUGAGAGGUUUGUGGGGUCAGGCUGCGUUGGAGCUGUGAUGUGGGGAGAGGGCUCCCCUCAGCUUUCUUUUCCCCCACACAACACUUGGGUUGUGCAUAGAGACACCUCUCCCUAGGCCACAGCAGGUCCAAGCCAGGCCUGGCUGGGGCCGGGGGAAGGGUGCCUCUCUCCUGGCUGUGGCACGUCUGGGCCAGGCUAGGUUGGGGUCAUGGGACGGGAACACCUCUCCCCUGGCUGCAGCUGGGCUGGGUUCGGGCCAGAGCUUCUCUCUCCACCACAGCAGGUCCAGGGCUGGAGGAGAGGAAUCUCUCCUCACUGCAGCCCUGAGUGUCUGCACAGUGCUUAACAGGUUGCCACGCGGCUUAGAGGGAACUUAGCUCAUGGAUAUUGUAUCAUUAAAGAGGGGAACAAGCUGUGUGUGUGAGGCCUGCAGCGUCCUACGUCUGUGCGCCCUGGAUUCCCUUCUCACACUUCACCCCCCAAACCUGACAACAAGCAAGGAAAACGACACCAAAAAGCCCAGUGGCCUGGAAGGAAGCCAGAAAUGUGGUAGCUCCAAGAGGUCGCUCUCUGGGAUCAGGCCUCCUUUGUUCUAGAUGCUGAACAAACAAGAAGAGAAAGGCAGUCCAAGCUCCAAAGGGCUUAUGGUCGCAGAAGAUGAGACCACAAAUGAAGGCGACAAACAGCCAGCGGAGCGCAAGGAAACAGACGCUGCUGGUCAGCAUGAUAAGCGGCUGUCCCAGUGCACCAGCUUCCUGCUCAUUGUGGGCACGGGAGGAGCGGGGAGGAGGUCUGUGCUACGGGCUGUCUGAACUGCCCCAGGAGUGUCCUAAACAUACUGGCGUAGGGCUUGACCUUACACCAGUGAAGCUACAGGGAGUCAGCGCUAGCAGCACAGGGGGCAAGAUGAGACCUCUCCCGGGUUUAUGGCUUGGGGUGGGCCUGCAGCAGAGAGGAUGGCUGCAUGUUUCCGUGUGAAGCUCCUCACUUCCUUGAUAGGAAAAAGAAAGAUUCCUACAUGGGAUGAGUUCUUAGCACAGCCCUGUUAAGAACCAGCUAGCUUCCUAUUUGAAGCCAAGCUGUACAUCCAGAGAAGGCACCCGGCUCCUAUGACAAGGUUACUAAUCCCUUCCCGUAGCCUCAUCUCAGGGGAGAUCACCCCUCUACCAUGAGCCUGCCCCCAGCCUAUUCCCCACUUGUGCACCAUGGGCCCUGUGUGUCCUCACCUGGUGUAAAUUACCAGGGCUCCACUCUCUUCAGCAGGGCUGUGGGGAGUUGCAGCAGCAGCCGCACAAAGGAGCUGCAGCAUGCCAGCUCCACAGAGCUGGGGGUAGCAGCUGGCCUGUCUUCUUGCCAAAUCAUUCAUGAAAGAUCCACAAGAAUUCUGGAAGGGAGAGUUUUUUUUUUUAAUCCUGGUACUAUCCCUUUAAGCAACACAGAAAUGCUGUUAAAACAACAGGCGAAACGUGUAAAAAACCUCACGUGCUUCCCCCUAGAGACUCCAACCCAGACAAAUCAAAUCUCUUCAAAAACUCAAGCCUGUGUCUCUGGCAGAGCUGAAAUGAGGACAGGCCUGCAGAAUGACUGCGCAUUAAAGUCUGGAAACUGAGGGCCACAUUCAGCCUUACUUUUAAAAGAGAGUUGGGCAGAACCAAGAGAUGAUCUAAUACACUAGUUUUACUCUUCUCAUUGUGAAGUUGCUCUAAUUUAUCAUGAUCAUUAUUUAUAAAGUCUGUGACAAUUUGACUUUUGUCUUUUGUGACUUUUGCUUUGUCAAUUCAUUCUCAUAAAAUUUCUCCAAAACCUGGAGCUUUAAAACUUUGGAGAGGGGAGCAGCAGGAGGGUGUUUUGCUACUGCAACUGACAAGUUGUAGUUAAUAUCCAAUCCUGUCAGAAAUACAAUACAAGGAGCAUGUGUAUUUAAAUAUUCUACUCCACCAGCAAAGCAAAAUUCCACGAGAGUAUGGUGUUUAAUAAGGCACUGUUGAUAAGACAGAAACAUCUGCAAUACAAAUCAAUGUGUACGUUAGGCCUUUGCCAAGGUCUAUAUUACGCUGAUGUAGGAAAGUAGUUACAUAUUUUCACUUAAUAUUUCUUGUAGCACAUUCCUUACCCAGCCCAAGGGUUCUUGCCGUAGACCAUGCUGUACAGUGGGUACAUGUAUGUUUCAUGGCCAUUCCCCCAGAGAAAGCAUGGUGGUGAGAGGUGCUUUAGAUAUAGACAAACAAUGGCUUAGUUUGCUGCACCCUUUGCAGGGAAGAAGUAGGCUGCUGGCUUUGUACCUGGAAGACCCAUUAUUAGUUCACCUGGGACAAAUGUUCCCUCUAAUUGUUUCCAUCCAUGUGCAGAAUAAAUUGUAUGUGCACCAAGGCAUGUGUUGAUGUGCACCACUAGUAGAAACUCAUGCUGGGGGCUGGGGGUUCUGCUAAUCAGCUGGGUGGCAUUUGAAUCUCUCCUGCUUGGCUGCCCGAGCAGUCAGCUUAGAGCAGGCAUGUCCAAAGUCUGGCCCGCGGGCCAAUUGCGGCCCGUGUUCUGGUUUAAUACGGCCCCACAGGUAAUUUGGCAACAUCUAUC